Cygnus olor (mute swan) is the source of this 1590-nucleotide long non-coding RNA. RefSeq lists it as uncharacterized. The record is from RefSeq and is a predicted model, not a curated record. NCBI's taxonomy places the organism in Eukaryota, Metazoa, Chordata, Aves, Anseriformes, Anatidae. The transcript has 5 exons.
UGUGAUCAGCCUGCUGGGGCCCCAGCCCUGUGCCCUGGGCACACCCACUGCAGCCCCAGUGGGUGGGGGGCUCCCGGUCUCACCCUGGGGACACGGGGACGUCGGCUGUGGGUCCCCUGAGCUCAUCGGGGCAUCGGGGAACCCUUCAGGGGCAGAGAGGCUGUGUUGUGCCUUUCUUCUCCUUGCAUGGCCGGGCUUUGCCAGCCUUGUUGUCAUCUGAGUAGCGAUUCCGGUCUCUCCAUUAACGUCUGCAGUGAGCAGAGACAGAGGGGCAUGCAUUUUUGGCAGCUGCUGAGACCGGGAACCUGCAGGACGCCCCUUCCAUCGUCUGCCGAGCCAAUUAGCCAGUCUGCGAAAGCAGCAGGAGCGUCUUGUGUUGUGACAGCGGUGGAAAGGCACCGAAGCCAAACAGCGCGGGCCUCCGUAAGCCGCCUCUCCUGCCGCACUGAACUGAAAAGAGCAGUGCUGGAAAUCACCCAGGCUGAGCCCUGCUGUGACGGGGAGGGACGGGUGGCAGCCGAGGACCUCACGGACACCACGGACCCUCCUGGCUGCCCCUGCUGCCCACCCUGCUCAUGCUGCAGGGCCAAGGAAAUGGUGGGCAAGAGGAUCCAGCCUCCCCAGGGCUCCCCAAGGCAGGCAGCAGCAGGUCCAGUGACGUGGGAUUUCCCUGACGGCACACCCAGGGGUGCUCCUCUAUACUUCUAUUCUCUAGAAAUAAGAAAGACCACGAAGAAGAAAGCUGGAAAUCCUGCAGACACCUAAAAUGAAAUGCAGGAUUCGAAAGGGCCCUGGCAGAGCAGGCACUGAGGUCCUUAUCAUCCAUCUGAGCUAUGAAGUACUUGGUACACUCGGAGGUGCAGGUUACAAGAGCAUCAGCCGUGACGAAGGAAGGGGAUGGAGGUGCAAGGACCCCCCCAGAUGCGUUGCCAUUGACCUGGACCUGCCUGCAAGCCACGGCUCGGACCUCUACUGGCUGUGGAUCCCUACCUGUAAAUCAGAGAACAAAGGGCAGCCCUCCCUUGCUCUUCUCCAAGCUCUUGCCUCAUCAUGGCUCUGGCGUUCCUCCUUUUCUAUCCCCAGACAUUGUCUCUUUUCUCAUCUUUCCGUUGUGCACUGUCACACCGACAAUAGGGACAGCCACCAGCCUCGCCGUCGUUGUAACACAACGUCGCUCAGCGGGGCCCUGUGCCGGCGCUGAUACCGUAGCCAUGCAACCCGUGUUUGUGUUUCAGGGAUUGUGUUUGCUUUAUUUCCCUGGAUUAAAAAGCGGUAAGAAAACAGCCUCACCAAGAAGAGUUCGAGCAGUUAAUUAGUUUCAACAUUGAAAGGGCCGCUGCCCAGCAGCUAAAAAAUCAUCGUGUUUGAAUGGUGAAUUAAGUCAGCCAGCCAAUAAAUCUGAGCAACAAAACAGUCCCUUUAGCCCAGAGGAGCUCUCUUUCCUCAAAACACUGAUAAAUGGCUUUUUCUCAGAGCCCACAAGGUCAUCAAAUUAAUAAAGCAUUUCAAGUAAUGUACGGAAGCGAAGUGACACCCUGUUGCAAGAGAUUUGCUGUUGAAACCGACUCUCUAUAACAGAGUGUGAUGCAU